CGUAACAAGGUCUCCGUUGGUGAUUCAGCGGAGGGAUCAUUGCUGGAACGCGCUUCGGCGCACCCAGAAACCCUUUGUGAACUUAUACCUAUUUGUUGCCUCGGCGUAGGCCGGCCUCUUCACUGAGGCCCCCUGGAAACAGGGAGCAGCCCGCCGGCGGCCAACUAAACUCUUGUUUCUAUAGUGAAUCUCUGAGUAAAAACAUAAAUGAAUCAAAACUUUCAACAACGGAUCUCUUGGUUCUGGCAUCGAUGAAGAACGCAGCGAAAUGCGAUAAGUAAUGUGAAUUGCAGAAUUCAGUGAAUCAUCGAAUCUUUGAACGCACAUUGCGCCCUCUGGUAUUCCGGAGGGCAUGCCUGUUCGAGCGUCAUUUCAACCCUCAAGCCUGGCUUGGUGAUGGGGCACUGCCUUCUAACGAGGGCAGGCCCUGAAAUCUAGUGGCGAGCUCGCUAGGACCCCGAGCGUAGUAGUUAUAUCUCGUUCUGGAAGGCCCUGGCGGUGCCCUGCCGUUAAACCCCCAACUUCUGAAAAUUGACCUCGGAUCAGGAGGAAACCCGUGAUA
Molecule: ribosomal RNA, 562 nt
Filed under: Diaporthe cf. phaseolorum 92C
Lineage: Eukaryota; Fungi; Ascomycota; Sordariomycetes; Diaporthales; Diaporthaceae
Description: partial 18S ribosomal RNA
Rfam family: 5.8S ribosomal RNA (bases 217-370)
Source: RNAcentral